AGCAGCCGCGGUAAUUCCAGCUCCAAUAGCGUAUAUUAAAGUUGUUGCAGUUAAAAGCUCGUAGUUGAACUUCGGGAUCAAUGGAUCGGUCAUGCCUUGGUAUGUACUGAUCAUAUUGGUUCUCACCUUCUAACGAACCAUAAUGUCAUUCAUUUGAUGUUGUGGGGAAUUAGGACUGUUACCUUGAAAAAUUGAGUGUUUAAAGCAGGCCUACGCUUGAAUACAUUAGCAUGGAAUAAUGAAAUAGGACAUUGCAUUCUAUUUUGUUGGUUUCUAGGAUCGAUGUAAUGAUUAAUAGGGAUAGUUGGGGGCAUUGUAUUCAAUUGUCAGAGGUGA
RNAcentral lists this ribosomal RNA (336 nucleotides) under uncultured Glomeromycotina. Its description in RNAcentral is "SSU rRNA". It matches the Rfam family "Eukaryotic small subunit ribosomal RNA", at positions 569 to 914 of the family's 1831-position model. The record is from RNAcentral. Lineage: Eukaryota; Fungi; Glomeromycota.